CAUAAAGUUUAACGGCCGCGGUAUUUUGACCGUGCCCAUUUAGCGCAAUCACUUGUCCUUUAAAUGAGGACCUGUAUGCAUGGCAUAACGAGGGCUUAGCUGUCUCCCCUAUCCAGUCAAUGAAAUUGAUCUUCCCGUGCAGAAGCGGGGCUGAUCUCAUAAGACGAGAAGACCCUAUGGAGCUUUAGACAAUCAGACGACCCCUUUAAAACAGCUUAGCACAAUAAAGCUGAUCCCCUUGGCCGGACCCCGUCUUAUGUCUUUGGUUGGGGCGACCGUGGGGAAAAGAAAAUCCCCCAUGAGGACCAAAAACCACCACUUUUAUAGCCGAGAGCCUACCACUCAAAGCAUCAGAACCUCUGACCCAAAUGAUCCGGCCCACCGGCCGAUCAACGAACCGAGUUACCCUAGGGAUAACAGCGCAAUCCCCUCCCAGAGCCCAUAUCGACGAGGGGGUUUACGACCUCGAUGUUGGAUCAGGACAUCCUAAUGGUGCAGCCGCUAUUAAGGGUUCGUUUGUUCAACGAUUAACAGUCCUACGUGAUCUGAGUUCAGACCG
This 559-nucleotide ribosomal RNA is filed under the name Alepisauridae environmental sample cf. Alepisaurus ferox. RNAcentral describes it as "partial 16S ribosomal RNA". It matches the Rfam family "Bacterial large subunit ribosomal RNA", at positions 1912 to 2618 of the family's 2925-position model. Lineage: Eukaryota; Metazoa; Chordata; Actinopteri; Aulopiformes; Alepisauridae. The record is from RNAcentral.